UACGUAGGGGGCAAGCGUUGUCCGGAUUUAUUGGGCGUAAAGAGCGUGUAGGCGGCCAAGUAAGUCUGCUGUGAAAACUCGAGGCUUAACCUCGAGCUGUCGGCGGAAACUAUUUGGCUAGAGUCCGGAAGAGGAGAAUGGAAUUCCCGGUGUAGCGGUGAAAUGCGCAGAUAUCAGGAGGAACACCAAUGGCGAAGGCAGCUCGCUGGGACGUGACUGACGCUGAGACGCGAAAGCGUGGGGAGCAAACGGG
RNAcentral lists this ribosomal RNA (253 nucleotides) under uncultured bacterium. RNAcentral describes it as "partial 16S ribosomal RNA". It matches the Rfam family "Bacterial small subunit ribosomal RNA", at positions 524 to 776 of the family's 1533-position model. The record is from RNAcentral.